This 253-nucleotide ribosomal RNA is filed under the name uncultured bacterium. RNAcentral describes it as "partial 16S ribosomal RNA". It matches the Rfam family "Bacterial small subunit ribosomal RNA", at positions 524 to 776 of the family's 1533-position model. The record is from RNAcentral.
UACAGAGGGUGCAAGCGUUGUUCGGAAUUAUUGGGCGUAAAGGGAGUGUAGGCGGUUCGUUAAGUCUUCUGUGAAAUCUACGGGCUUAGCCUGUAACGUGCAGAGGAAACUAGCGGGCUUGAGUGUCGGAGAGGAUAGGGGAAUACCCAGUUUAGAGGUGAAAUUCGUAGAGAUUGGGUGGAACACCAGUGGCGAAGGCGCCUAUCUGGCUGACAACUGACGCUGAGACUCGAAAGCAUGGGGAGCAAACAGG